CAUAGCUACGACUUUAGAACGGGAGGUAGCGGGAGGUAUUAUAGUCCGCUGAGCUUUGUUUUGUUUCCAUUGAAACGUAGGACGGACCAUAACUACGACUUUCAUGAGGCUUGCAACCAUAAUUCAUGCCAUUUUUCAUGCCGACUGGAUGUAGGCAUAGGUACCAUAGGUAGUUUUUAUUUAAAAGAAACAUGCAAACAAUUAAUAGGGCGUGGGAUCCGCGUUGCAUUGUGGGACGUGGCGGCCAUGUUGAUGGCUACGAAAACGUGGUUAACAUAACUCUGACAUAACGUUGUUGAACGAAGAGAAGUAGCAGUAGAGUUGAGAAAGAAUAGCUAGAAAAAAUAUGUUAAAAUCCCGAAAAGGAUCUGGAAUUUACCGGGACACAUUAAAUAGAGAUGCCAGGGACCGGUAUGGUGAUAAUAAUGACAAAAUCAGCAUUAUUAAUAAUUUGGAUCCAUAUGAAGUUCCAGCGGCAGGUAGCGGUAAAGGAGGCCAUCAACAUGGCGGUCACGCAAACGUUACAGGCAAGUCCGGCAUAGCGGCCUGUGAAGGAGGGUGUUGGACAGCAGGGGCACUGUUUCUCGGGACACUUGAUGACAAGACGUGGCUCCAUUCUCGUCUCUCCUGCACUGACGGAGCCCAGUAAGCACGAAGGCUGCUCUCGCAUCGAUGGCCUGUCACCGACAUUAUUUGACGACUCUCCAGGCCGGCGUCUGAGAGCCGACCUACAGCGGUGCUUCGGAGGCUGUGGUUUGUGUAGAUCUGCGAAAGACCCACCUGAAAUGUAGAAUGACAGGAUAUUUAUUAUAUUAUGGGGAUGGAGGGAAACUAUUUAGUAGCUAUGGACUGAUACAAAAUUAUAGCCAUAAUCACCUCUUCGCUGAUUCUUUUUAACAUGUUCCCGAGGUAGUGGACACCCAUCGGCUCCCGGGUGUACCACACGCCGGAGGACAGGGUGCGCUUUGGGUGGAGGUAGAACGAUUUGGCAUCUGAUGGACAUUUCGCAAUAUAUUUCUUGAAACUUUCCACCGGACAAAGCGGAUCAUCAGGCCUGGCAAACAUAAACCCUCGUAGGUUUUCCUUUUCAAGUUCAUUCGGGUCUUUGUGAUUCUUGCUUUGGGGAUUGUGCGCCAGGCUGACAUAUUCCACCCCAUCCUCGUCUCUCUGUAGGAUGAAAGAUGACAUGGAUAGCUCCCGGGUUCCCUCCCUGCCACGCCGAGCCAAACAUAUUUGGAUGUCGAACCACACUUUUCUGACCAGGCCGACGGGCGAAUCAGGAGACAGUGCAGUUGAAGAUCUAAUACGUUUGAGGUCCGACUCGGAGAUACGGGGAUGGUGGAGGCUGGUAUCUUUACCACUUUUCCUGUACCGUUUAAUUACGGAUGUAAACACGGCAUUGCUGGUCCUGAAUCUGGUGUCAGUUAUAAUAUUGAAGCCAACUAUAUAACGUUUAAUACCGGCUCUCAGACUCCUUAGGCUGGCUAUGCUGUACUCCCCUCCUGUCUUGGUGGACUGGACAGCGGCAUAAAACUCCCGCAGAGUCUCAUUAAGAGCAUCAGCGGUGUAGUUUACCAAGUUGGGGUCCAUUCGUUUUUGUUCAAGAAAGUCUCUCAGUAUAUUAACUGCCCAUUUUGUUGUUUUUUUGGUGUUGAUCUCAUCUUUGUCAUCUUCUAUUUGAUUUAAUUCUCCCGGUGUUAACUCCUUGUGCCGUUGCUUUCUUUUCCUCUUUUCCAUUUCUUUUUCUUCUGCUGCAUCCCAGUCAUCGAAGUUGUCAUAUACUCCAAAUAAAUUAAAAGAAAUGUUGAAAUCA
Gadus morhua (Atlantic cod) is the source of this 1813-nucleotide long non-coding RNA. RefSeq lists it as uncharacterized. The transcript has 2 exons. Lineage: Eukaryota; Metazoa; Chordata; Actinopteri; Gadiformes; Gadidae. The record is from RefSeq and is a predicted model, not a curated record.